AGUGAACGCUGGCGGUAGGCCUAACACAUGCAAGUCGAACGGCAGCACAGUAAGAGCUUGCUCUUACGGGUGGCGAGUGGCGGACGGGUGAGGAAUACAUCGGAAUCUACUUUUUCGUGGGGGAUAACGUAGGGAAACUUACGCUAAUACCGCAUACGACCUACGGGUGAAAGCAGGGGAUCUUCGGACCUUGCGCGAUUGAAUGACCCGAUGUCGGAUUAGCUAGUUGGCGGGGUAAAGGCCCACCAAGGCGACGAUCCGUAGCUGGUCUGAGAGGAUGAUCGCCCACACUGGAACUGGGCCACGGUCCAGACUCCUACGGGGGGCGGCAGUGGGGAAUAUUGGACAUUGGGCGCAAGCCUGAUCCAGCCAUACCGCGUGGGUGAAGAAGGCCUUCGGGUUUUAAAGCCCUUUUGUUGGGAAAGAAAAGCAGCAGGUUAAUACCCCGCUGUUCUGACGGUACCCAAAGAGUAAGCACCGGCUAACUUCGUG
RNAcentral lists this ribosomal RNA (492 nucleotides) under uncultured bacterium. RNAcentral's name for it is "partial 16S ribosomal RNA". It matches the Rfam family "Bacterial small subunit ribosomal RNA", at positions 29 to 507 of the family's 1533-position model. The record is from RNAcentral.